GGGACCAUAGCUCAGUGGUAGAGCAUCCGACUGCAGAUCGGAUUGUCCCCGGUUCAAAUCCGGGUGCUCCCU
RNAcentral lists this transfer RNA (72 nucleotides) under Daphnia galeata. It matches the Rfam family "tRNA". Rfam says of the family: Transfer RNA (tRNA) molecules are approximately 80 nucleotides in length. Lineage: Eukaryota; Metazoa; Arthropoda; Branchiopoda; Diplostraca; Daphniidae. The record is from Rfam by way of RNAcentral.